GCUGGGUACAGUGGUGCACACCUGUAAUCCCAGUGGCUUGGGAGGCUGAGACAGGAGGAUUGUGAGUUCAAAUCCAGCCUCAGCAAUAGUGAGGUGCUAAGCAACUCAGUGAGACCCUGUCUCUA
This 125-nucleotide small RNA is filed under the name Marmota monax (woodchuck). The record is from RNAcentral. Lineage: Eukaryota; Metazoa; Chordata; Mammalia; Rodentia; Sciuridae.